CAGGACGAACGCUGGCGGCGUGCCUAACACAUGCAAGUCGAGCGAGGAGAUUCCUUCGGGAUGAUCCUAGCGGCGGACGGGUGAGUAACACGUGGGCAACCUGCCUCAUAGAGAGGAAUAGCCUUCCGAAAGGGAGAUUAAUACCUCAUAACAUUGCAGUUUCGCAUGGAACAGCAAUUAAAGGAGUAAUCCGCUAUGAGAUGGGCCCGCGGCGCAUUAGCUAGUUGGUGAGGUAACGGCUCACCAAGGCGACGAUGCGUAGCCGACCUGAGAGGGUGAUCGGCCACAUUGGGACUGAGACACGGCCCAGACUCCUACGGGAGGCAGCAGUGGGGAAUAUUGCACAAUGGGGGAAACCCUGAUGCAGCAAACCGCCGCGUGAGUGAUGACGGCCUUCGGGUUGUAAAGCUCUGUCUUCAGGGACGAUAAUGACGGUACCUGAGGAGGAAGCCACGGCUAACUGCGUGCCAGCAGCAGC
This 478-nucleotide ribosomal RNA is filed under the name uncultured bacterium. Its description in RNAcentral is "bacterial SSU rRNA". It matches the Rfam family "Bacterial small subunit ribosomal RNA", at positions 25 to 518 of the family's 1533-position model. The record is from RNAcentral.